UACGGAGGGUGCAAGCGUUAUCCGGAUUCACUGGGUUUAAAGGGUGCGUAGGCGGGCAGGUAAGUCAGUGGUGAAAUCUCCAAGCUUACCUUGGAAACUGCCGUUGAUACUAUCUGUCUUGAAUGUUGUGGAGGUGAGCGGAAUAUGUCAUGUAGCGGUGAAAUGCUGAGAUAUGACAUAGAACAACAAGAGCGAAGGCAGCUCACUACACAAAUAUUGACGCUGAGGCACGAAAGCGGGGGGAGCAAACAGG
RNAcentral lists this ribosomal RNA (253 nucleotides) under uncultured bacterium. Its description in RNAcentral is "partial 16S ribosomal RNA". It matches the Rfam family "Bacterial small subunit ribosomal RNA", at positions 524 to 776 of the family's 1533-position model. The record is from RNAcentral.